GCGGAUAUGGCGGAAUUGGCAGACGCGAUAGUUUUAGGUGCUGUUUUCGAAUGAAGUGCAGGUUCAAGUCCUGUUAUCCGCA
Molecule: transfer RNA, 82 nt
Filed under: Lachnospiraceae bacterium
Lineage: Bacteria; Bacillati; Bacillota; Clostridia; Lachnospirales; Lachnospiraceae
Description: tRNA-Leu
Rfam family: tRNA
About the family: Transfer RNA (tRNA) molecules are approximately 80 nucleotides in length.
Source: RNAcentral